GCCUUCGGGGUGUAGUGGUCAGCACGCUCGACGUGUAACCGAGAGGUCCGUGGUUCGAUUCCCGGCGAAGGCA
RNAcentral lists this transfer RNA (73 nucleotides) under Stegodyphus mimosarum. It matches the Rfam family "tRNA". From Rfam's summary of the family: Transfer RNA (tRNA) molecules are approximately 80 nucleotides in length. Their secondary structure includes four short double-helical elements and three loops (D, anti-codon, and T loops). Lineage: Eukaryota; Metazoa; Arthropoda; Arachnida; Araneae; Eresidae. The record is from Rfam by way of RNAcentral.